This 559-nucleotide ribosomal RNA is filed under the name uncultured Glomus. RNAcentral's name for it is "SSU rRNA". It matches the Rfam family "Eukaryotic small subunit ribosomal RNA", at positions 546 to 1106 of the family's 1831-position model. Lineage: Eukaryota; Fungi; Glomeromycota; Glomeromycetes; Glomerales; Glomeraceae. The record is from RNAcentral.
AAUUGGAGGGCAAGUCUGGUGCCAGCAGCCGCGGUAAUUCCAGCUCCAAUAGCGUAUAUUAAAGUUGUUGCAGUUAAAAAGCUCGUAGUUGAAUUUCGGGGUCAGUAGAUUGGUCGUGCCACAGGUAUGUACUGGUCUUACUGGCUCCUCCUUCCUGAUGAACCGUAAUGCCAUUAAUUUGGUGUUGCGGGGAGACUGGACUGUUACUUUGAAAAAAUUAGAGUGUUUAAAGCAGGCUAACGCUUGAAUACAUUAGCAUGGAAUAAUGAAAUAGGACGUUCGAUCUUAUUUUGUUGGUUUCUAAGAUUGACGUAAUGAUUAAUAGGGAUAGUUGGGGGCAUUAGUAUUCAAUUGUCAGAGGUGAAAUUCUUGGAUUUAUUGAAGACUAACUACUGCGAAAGCAUUUGCCAAGGAUGUUUUCAUUAAUCAAGAACGUAAGUUAGGGGAUCGAAGACGAUCAGAUACCGUCGUAGUCUUAACCAUAAACUAUGCCGACUAGGGAUCGGAUGAUGUUAAUUUUUUAAUGACUCAUUCGGCGCCUUACGGGAAACCAAAGUGU